This is a long non-coding RNA of Mastomys coucha (southern multimammate mouse), 1262 nucleotides long. RefSeq lists it as uncharacterized. Lineage: Eukaryota; Metazoa; Chordata; Mammalia; Rodentia; Muridae. The transcript has 3 exons. The record is from RefSeq and is a predicted model, not a curated record.
CGGAACUUCCUGUUGGACGUGAGGACAAAGGAGAAGCUAAGAAGCUGCAUCAGUAUCUCUGCCUGCAGUAUACUGAUGGAGACGGAGAUAUCUGAAUCAACUAUUUGAGAAAGGGAAGACUUGAAAUAGUGAGCCCAAAGAUAACAUACCUUCUCCUACAGGCCUGAAUGUAAAGGAAUAAGCUGGGGCCAAUGCCCAAAAUAGAGGGACUCUUCUUCAGGAGGUCAGUGAGAAGGGAGCCUGAGAGACCCAAGGAAGAAAUCCCCUGGCCUCUGAGAACUUUGGGGAGUAGGAGGAGAAAACUUGAAGAUCCUGAUACAGAAGCAAGGAUGUUUUCUAAGUCUGCACACACAGAACAGGAACAAUCCAGCGCACUUCCAUUGUUACCAUCUCUUUACCUGAAUCCCUCUGUGUAGAGGGAAGUUGGCUUCACUGAGCAGUUUCCCAGUGACUUAGGCUGGGAACCAACAUUGUGGGAGGUAAGCAGACUUCAAUACAAUUAUCUGGCUGGACAAGUUUUUUGGUCCGUUUUCCACGCGACCAGGCAAAAGCUGUUGUCUUAGACUGAGUCUCCAUACAGGUGUGACCUCACAUCUUGCAGCUCCUAAUAGAGCCAGGCCACCAUGGAAGUGCUGUGGGGGAAGGAGCGGGGUAGGAGAAACGAGAAUGGCCGCUGCACCAAUCGCCAUACUUUCUAAAUUAAUUCUUUGGGUGCUCUACUUGCUCCAGAGGAUUACUUAAGACCUGAGCAAAUUGUUUUUAACGGAUUCAGCAGCACUAAGGGGACAAUACACACCAACUCAUUCUCCAAGGACUGCUUUCAAAUGACACUUAAAUGAAUGCUACAGGCCUUUCCUAUUAACGAUAUGAUAUUUACACUAUAAAAGUCUAUAUGGUCAAUUUAGAGAAGGGAGAAUCACAAUUGACUUGGUUAUGUCUUUCAUGUUGUGAGAAAGGGAGGGGACCUGUGUAGGCCUGGACACAGCAACUGCUUCCUAUAAAGAAGCAAAAGAGCCUCUUUCAGAACUUCUUAGCUCUAUUAUUAAAGGGCAAAUGAUGUAGGUGCUGCCCAAAUGAACUUACUAUGUCAUACUCUGUAUGUACUGCUUAAUUCAUUCUAGGCAUGGGGAGGGGAGAACAUGACAUUUCUUGAGUCCCUUGAGAGACAACAAAUACUUCCUUCAGAUUUUAAAAAUGAAGAAAGCCAGCCAAAGAUAAAUGAUUUCCCAUUUCACUCACCUGAACAUACAGUUCUCUAAGCU